This 2356-nucleotide long non-coding RNA is filed under the name Eucalyptus grandis. Its description in RNAcentral is "long non-coding RNA (EGRA_LNC005024)". The record is from RNAcentral. Lineage: Eukaryota; Viridiplantae; Streptophyta; Magnoliopsida; Myrtales; Myrtaceae.
CGGGAUGGACGGCACGUUACCUGCAAACCUCCGGCAGCUCCUCCGGCGACGGCGGGCUCGGCGCCAUGUAGCAGAAGAAGGUGUCCCUCCAGUUCGCCACCGCCGCCGUGUACAGGUCGAAAUUGCUGUUGUACACCACCUUCCUCGUUACGUCUCGCGUGUAGAACGCCUUCUUCGCCUCGUCGUCUUGCUCGUAGAACCGCCUCACCCCCUCCUUCAUCUCCUCCAUCGCGGCCGCCGGGACCCCGUGGUUCACCACCUGGAAGAACCCCAGCGUCUCCGACGCGCGCCGCAUCCCCUCGAUCGCCUCCUUCCUCUUGGCCGGGUCGCGGUCGAUCCCGCCGAGGUCGAUGACCGGGACGCUGAGAUUCUCGGUGCCGCCGCUCGAUCCGGAGCUGUCUUCGGAUGUCUCGUCCGGUCGGAUGAAGAUUCUGGGGACUUCAGUGAUCCCGGCGUCGACGAGGCCUUUGACGCCGGCUUUCGAGUCGUCGAACGCUUUCAGCUCGCUCGCUCUGUCAUAGCUCUGCUCUCCCGAGGCCAAAUCGAUGGUAGGCAAUGUGAAUGUGAAUUUGUUGGAUAUGAGCUUGAAUUAUGAAUUGAAUGUUGGGGAGACAUUGCAAUGCGUGAUAUGAGCAGCUCUUCUUUUAUAGAUGAGAGAUGGAGAUAAGAGAAGAGUGAAAUCACAUUGGGAGGAUCCAUUUGACUUCAGAAUAAUGAGGUCCACAAAAAUGGAAGGAGAAAGUCAUAGCUUAUGAGCUACCACUUGCUUAGAAAAAUGACAAUACUGUUUAAUAAUGGCUGAUUCUUUGGGGGACCAGGUAGCUAGUACACAAGUUUUGCAAUUUAUGGAUAAGAUAUCUGUUAGGACAGAGUUGACCAUUCAUAGAUGACAGGACAAUUAAUUGUCGUCUAAGCGUAUGUAGAUUUUUGCCUUGCGGUUGAUUCUGGUUGUCGUUGAGCAAGUUGAAGGCUGGCAAGAAUUCCACUUUUAAACCUUGCCGUCAAUAUACAUAGUGUAAGUCGAAUCUGAACCAAACAUAAAUGUUCCCAAAAGUGCAGAUUUUUCUCGUGGUAGAUUAGUGUUUUAACUGACAUACAAGCAUUCAACAUAGGUUUAUCUAAAGAUAGCAUCUUUCUUUCCAUUUGAGAGGGGUAUGUGUUAAUCUUCCUCUCCCCCUAUUUUUUGUUCUUUUUCAGGUUCAGCUUUUGUUUGAAAAGGAUCUUUGUUUUUUAGAGUUGCAUGGGUGCUAUCAAAUGAAGCAAUAUAAGCAUUAGCGAAAGCAGUGAAGAAAGGCAAUCCUGUUCUUUGGUAGUUUUACAUAGAUGAACAUCUGGAUGGACUUUUAUUUUCAAAUACAAACAUGAAGAAGACCACAUAAAAAAGUAGCCCCUCCGCUAAUAGAGCUAAUGAAGGGAAAUCCCACCUAAUACCAUGAAUAUCCUCUGCCUGUUAUCUUCUCAUCUUCCUGUUUACAGAGUCUACAGCUUGAAAUGAGGAAGGGCAGAAGUUCCAUAUACGCCCUUGGAAAUGUAAUGGGCAGUGUAGUUUGGAAGUGUAGUCUCCUUGUAGAUUGGUGCGUUGUCUGCUGAUGUUAAUUCCUUGAUGGGUCCAUACAGCCUUGAAGAUGGCUGGGGAGUGUGGCCGAAAAAGCACGCCACCGACACUCUCAGGCCUCUCUUGUUUGCCACAACUCGGUGCUUGACACUCUUAAACUGGUCGCUCAUUAUGAGCUGCGAAUGUAACAAUUAGUGAAUCAUUUUUAGUAAGGAAUGAAUAGAUGUAGUUUCUAGAUACUGCAAUGAUUUCAAUCUUCAUGUUGAUGAAUACAGAAAACUGCAGAAUUUCUAGGACCCACAUAGACCGCUCCUGUGAAAAGUGCUCUACACACAUCCCUCUCAUUUAGACAAUUUUGAACCUGUCAAAGAGAGGCUAGCAUGAUACAACUAAGUUAGAAUCAAGUUUGGAUUAGUCAAGUUCAGAUUAUGAAGACAUUAUGUUAUUGCUACAGGGAAGAUGCCAUGGUAAAUUGUUGGGCUCUUUAACUGGCUUAGCAUAUGAGAAAGUACAGAAGAAGGACGAGAAGAGGAUUGCAGUUUGUCGACCAAUCAAAACAAGGUUUCAGAGAAGCUCAGAGAUGAACGAUGAUAUCUGGCCAAAUCUACUUACUUGCAAUAGAUCUCUGAUGUUGAUCACUAGUGCUCCAGGAAUUGGAGGAACGUUGAUCCACUGGUUCUCAUGAAGCCCUUGAAGUCCUCAAAUUUGAUCUUGGAGGAGAAUUGUGAGGAAGUCAUUGUCCGAAUUCUUUGUCACACCCAGGGUCAACUCAGGUUGGGGGCAUGGCGGAUAGUAGUGGCA